CCUACGGGUGGCUGCAGUGGGGAAUUUUGGACAAUGGGCGCAAGCCUGAUCCAGCCAUUCCGCGUGAGUGAAGAAGGCCUUCGGGUUGUAAAGCUCUUUCGCAAGGGAAGAAAACUUAUCCUCUAACAUAGGAUGAGGUUGACGGUACCUUGAUAAGAAGCACCGGCUAACUACGUGCCAGCAGCCGCGGUAAUACGUAGGGGGCGAGCGGUAAUCGGAAUUUCUGGGCGGUGUUUGGUAGGAGGCUGUUUCAAUCCCCGAGCUCAACUUGGGAACUGCGUUUGAAACUACAAGACUAGAAUAGGUCAGAGGGGGGUAGAAUUCCACGUGUAGCAGUGAAAUGCGUAGAGAUGUGGAGGAAUAUCAAUGGCGAAGGCAGCCCCCUGGGAUCAUAUUGACGCUCAUGCACGAAAGCGUGGGGAGCAAACAGGAUUAGAUACCCUAGUAGUC
RNAcentral lists this ribosomal RNA (450 nucleotides) under uncultured bacterium. RNAcentral describes it as "partial 16S ribosomal RNA". It matches the Rfam family "Bacterial small subunit ribosomal RNA", at positions 338 to 795 of the family's 1533-position model. The record is from RNAcentral.